AUGGCAAUAGGAGCAGGCUUGGUAGAAAUAUGGUGUUAUAAGUGGUAUGUUUUAGGCGGUCUUGGAGUUUACAUCACCCUGCGCACAGUCAAGCGCUUCGUGCGAACAAAUUCCCCCGAUGUCUCCUCUGCUUUGGCAGCAACAAAAUUUGCCACCGAGAGUGCCGAUGCUGCAGCUGUUUUGGGAGGCUAUGUCAAAGAGGUUUUAAAGAGAAAGGAUUUGGAUGAUUUGGAUGUCUGUACUGUGAUGACAGAUUUUGGAUCUCUUAUUGAAACUAAAGGGGCUGCCGUGGGAUGCUAUUGUGUUGAGCAUUUACAUUUAAAAGUCAUCAACCAUUUGAAUCAUGACAGUGAUAUGAAGCAUUUGCUGGAUAGAUUGAAUAGUGCUUUUGAGAGUUUGAGCAAAAUGUUGGUGCUGAAUGCAAGGAUGGGAUACAGAUUGACCGAGCAAACAGACAAGUCAAGAUAUUGCAUCCUCUCAAAAGAUGGCCAGGCUAUUGGUAUGUUUGUCACGCAAGAUUUGAGUAAGUUUGGAUGUUGGGAUUGCUGCGAUGGAAGCAUACAAGAUGCGGUUAUAGUUGCAAAAGGCUACGACAAGUUGAGCUUUAUGGCUGCACAACGUCUGAGUGAUGAGAGUGCAGUUCACUUUGAUACAAUCUCUGAUGGGCCUGAGUUCGUUGUCAUUGCAUGUGAUGGAGUUUGCAAUCUUAUGGAAAACAUGGAUGCAGUUCGCUUUGUGUACCAAGCAGCCAGAGCGGACAUGGAGCUGCGUCCUCUCUGCGACGUCCUCCUGGAUGGCCUACUAUCAUCGGGAAGCUCGGUAAAGGUGGUGGCUGUACUUGUGCAGUUCAAGGCCCGACACAUGGGCGAGGGUUCUUCCGUCAAUGUCUGA
This 891-nucleotide ribosomal RNA is filed under the name Triticum aestivum (bread wheat). RNAcentral's name for it is "partial small subunit ribosomal RNA". Lineage: Eukaryota; Viridiplantae; Streptophyta; Magnoliopsida; Poales; Poaceae. The record is from RNAcentral.